Molecule: ribosomal RNA, 301 nt
Filed under: uncultured bacterium
Lineage: Bacteria
Description: partial 16S ribosomal RNA
Rfam family: Bacterial small subunit ribosomal RNA
Source: RNAcentral
CAGUAGCCGCGGUAAUACGUAGGGUGCGAGCGUUAAUCGGAAUUACUGGGCGUAAAGCGUGCGCAGGCGGUUUUGUAAGACAGGCGUGAAAUCCCCGGGCUCAACCUGGGAAUGGCAGUGGAUACUGGCUCGCUAGAGUGUGUCAGAGGAUGGUGGAAUUCCCGGUGUAGCGGUGAAAUGCGUAGAGAUCGGGAGGAACAUCAGUGGCGAAGGUGGCCAUCUGGGACAACACUGACGCUGAGGCACGAAAGCGUGGGGAGCAAACAGGAUUAGAUACCCGCGUAGUCCCUGUCUCUUAUAA